This 503-nucleotide ribosomal RNA is filed under the name uncultured bacterium. RNAcentral describes it as "bacterial SSU rRNA". It matches the Rfam family "Bacterial small subunit ribosomal RNA", at positions 25 to 518 of the family's 1533-position model. The record is from RNAcentral.
CAGAACGAACGCUGGCGGCGCGUUUAAGCAUGCAAGUCGAGCGGCAAGGGCCUUCGGGCCCCUAGAGCGGCGGACGGGUGAGUAACACGUGGACAAUCUGCCCCCCGGCCCGGGAUAGCCCAGGGAAACCUGGAUUAAUACCGGAUGAGACGGGACCCGCGAUGGCGGGAUCCGGGAAAGGCGCUGCGGCGCCGCCGGGGGAUGAGUCUGCGUCCCAUUAGGCUAGACGGCGGGGUAACGGCCCACCGUGGCGACGAUGGGUAGCCGGCCUGAGAGGGUGGACGGCCACAUUGGAACUGAGACACGGUCCAGACUCCUACGGGAGGCAGCAGCUAAGAAUCUUCCGCAAUGGGCGAAAGCCUGACGGAGCCGACGCCGCGUGAACGAAGAAGGCCGUGAGGUUGUAAAGUUCUUUUCGGGAGGGGAACAACCGUGGCAGGGAAUGGCCGCGGGAUGACGUGAAUCCCGGAAUAAGCCCCGGCUAACUACGUGCCAGCAGCGGC